GGCCCAGUGGCGGGUCCUAGGGACGUGGGUACCUGCAGAGGCCGGCAGAUGGAGAUUCAGAAACAUAAGGACAACAAGAAACUUCCCCAAGGUAUCAUUAUAGUCUUUAGACUUCAGACACACACCACACCUCAAAUAUAUACACAACUGAAAGAGCCAGAAAAUGCAUGACACAGGAGAAGAUGUACCCUCAUCUGUUCAGUGAGAGAUGUGCAAAUCAACAUCAACACAGAACUGCUGAAGAAAAAAAAUAUGUCUCUGAAAAGCAACUUAUUCACUGGAGAUGUGAGGAGCCAUCCGCACAUCACAAUUCUAUAGACAUCAAACGCAUGAAGCAUUUCGGAUCUGCUUUAAGACUGAGGCAGACUUUCCAUCUGGACACAGCCGACCAUCCAUGUGUCAUUACAAUGAAUCCAGCACUUCCCUGGAAGCUGGAAGGGUCAAAUUCAACUUCAACUCUGCCACUUCCUGCUUAACUUGCUGUUUAACCUUGGGCAAGCUGCCAUCCCACACGAGGCCGAAGGUGUCGGUUUUUAAAAUACAGAAAUUUGGUUCCAUGAGGGAUUAUCAAUAUACUGCUGGUGGGCCAAAUUCCAUCUGCUACUUGCCUUUGUAAAUAAAGUUUUAUUGAAACACAAACAUGCCCAUUAGUUUACUCUUGUCUGUGACUACAAGGGCAAAGUUGAAUAGUUGUUACAGAGACCAUCAGGCUCACAAAGCCUAGGUUAUUUACUAUCUGCCCAUUUACAGAGUAAGUUUGCCAGCCCUGGACUGGAUAAUUUUUUGAGUUCUUUCUAAUUCUAGAAUUCUUUAUAUAUUUUAUGAAACCCCUAAUGUUUAUAUAUUAAUUAUUUCAAUACCCGUGUCUUUACUGAGUCCCUCCUAUGAAGCAUACAUCAAGACAUAUGUGUGAUACAUUAACUAAACUUUUAACAGUAUCUUAAAUAGGAUUUCAAU
This is a long non-coding RNA of Homo sapiens (human), 957 nucleotides long. Ensembl annotates it as cancer susceptibility 2. Its record names the gene CASC2. The record is from Ensembl. NCBI's taxonomy places the organism in Eukaryota, Metazoa, Chordata, Mammalia, Primates, Hominidae.